Molecule: long non-coding RNA, 2949 nt
Organism: Camelina sativa (false flax)
Lineage: Eukaryota; Viridiplantae; Streptophyta; Magnoliopsida; Brassicales; Brassicaceae
Source: RefSeq, a predicted model, not a curated record
GUCCCAUGUUGUGUAUGAGAUUAAAAUCAUUAUUAGGUUUUAAAUAAAUUGUAAUCUCUAUUUUAACACCAUUUUAAAUCUUUCUUCCAAACUUAGCACACAUUUUUUUAUUUUCCAAACUUAGCACACAUUUUCUAAUUUAAAAAUACUAAAAAUAAUUAAUUAAAGUAUUUCAUAAAAAUAUCCAUCUUUAUCGAUGGUUCUUAAGUUUUUACCGACCAAGUGAUCUAAUCGGAGACGAUAAAGCAGCUUCACCAGAAUGAAAAAUCGGAUUACGGUGACAAUGGGGAAGGCUCGAGCUUCAAGAGUAACGAAUUGAUUUGAAAACCAUAGAGAAUGAAGAGAGUGUAGAAAAACCGGGAAGGAAGUUAGGAUGAGCGAUUACGGUGACGACGAUGCACAUAAUAGGGUUUUGUGCUGGGAUUUGGAAAUCAACAUUUCACUAUGCUGGAUUGGUUUUGCAAAUCUGAGAUUGCAAAGGGGAAAGAAGAAGCUUGGAUAGAUGACCAACUGUUCAUUACAUGGAAGGACAAAGUUAGUAACUUCCGAGAUGCUUCUUAAACUUGUAAUAAGCUUCAACGCUACUUAUGAAGUCUUGCUCACAGCCAACACUGCUUUUCAGAAGCCCAUCCCUCUAGCUAAAAUCCACCAUUUUCUGCUUGAUAUUUGGCAUGGGAAUGGUCUGUCUCACUAGGUUACACAAAGAGGUGAUUCUUAGUAUUUCUGGUACAAAAUUUAGUUGCAAGCUCUAAUGAUCAAAAUUUCAAUAUCUUUUACAAGAGACUCUGGUUUUUUAUGAACAUAGGUGUUUUUGAAAAUCUCUUCCAUGUCAAUUCACCAAAAACAAAGAAAGGAUCGAUCAUGCUUUUGUUUAAUUAUCUUAUUCUGUAAGAGAUUUUGACUAUGCCAUUUCGUUGUUCACCACCAUGUGAUGUUUUGUAUUAAAGAUUUGGAUAUUUUGCUAGGUAGCUAUGUUUUCACCGGUAAUCAUAUAAGAAGAAUCUGAAUCAAACAUUCAAGAAGGAUUCCCAAAUAUUUAGGAAGAACUGAAUGAUGUUUAAGAAAAAUCCUUUACAAUUCAGGAUGACUUUCAUUAUAUAAAAAAGUGAGCUAUUUAUCCUUUACAAGUAUAUGACCAACACUAAGCGUUAGCUAAAACACAAUAAACCAUCAUCAACAAUAUCUAACCACCAUCAUAAACAGACCAUAUCCGCUUACUAGAGAUUGUAAAAACAUUAAUUCAAAUUCAGGAAGGAUUCUCAGAUAUUUAGGAAAUACUUUUUGAAUUUUAGGAAGACAUUCAUUAAGAAAAAAUAUAUAUAAAAAGAGAUUUGUGAGUUGAUACAUUACCCCUUACUAAUAGAGUAAUCUUGUGAUAAUACAUUGGGACAAAAGAUAAUUAAAAACAUUUAAAUACAUAUUUCUCUAAGUUUAGGAAGAGGUUCAUACUGUUUAGGAAGGAUUUUAUGAUGUUUAGGAAGAUGAUAUUGAAUUUUUUGAAGGUCUUCCUAAACAUCUGAAACCAACAUCUAUGUGGCCAACUUUGGAUUAACAAUUAGUAUGUCUCUGAAAAUCGUCAAACUCUUGAUGAAUAUAACCAUUAGCUGUCGAACAUCAUGCUGCAUCACAAAUAUGUCAUAGUAGCCAAUGCACAAGGGAUAUCAGUGAGCUUUUGUUGUAACAUCUUCAUGCUUUUAACUUGGUGAUACAUGAGCCUUAACGUCUUCUAUGGGAGCAGUAAUUAAUUUCAGUUGUUACUGGAAAGCCAUCCACAUUUAGACCAAGAAUCUGGUGAAAUACUAACACAUAUAAGCAUAUAUAUCAGCCUCACAUUCAUCAAAUUAGUAGCAUCGGUAGCUUGUGAUCACAAUCAUCAUACUUUCUAGAGCUUAAAUCUUGUUCGAUUAGAGUAUCAUGAGAGAAAAAUUCAGCACCAAUCCUCACGUGUUGCCUCCUCAUCCUCAUCUGCACCUAAUGAGCUUCUCGUCUAUUCAAAUCUCUCACCUAUAGCUUCUUCUUGCCAUAACUACCCUCACCUUCUCCACAAGUACAUGAACAACACUCCCUUUUCUCUUUUUCCUUCUAACACCGAUCUCAUCGAGAAGCUCAUCCUCCGUGGUGCCACCCACGUCCUCGCCGUCGUUGUUUCUCACGAAUGCCUCCGAACUCGUCAGAUUCAAAGCAUGAAUCUAAUUUCAUCUGGUCUUACUACUCUUGCAAUAGCUUGGAUUGGUUGGUUACUAAAUUCCCAAAUCUAAGGUUCGAUCUCUCCUUGAUUUACCAAUCUCGCAGCUUCUUCAGGUCAUUAAAUCAACCAUUCCAGUUCUCUAUCUCGGGAUUGAUGUCGGCGGUUAGGACUGGCUCUUAAUUUUGGUGUGGCGAUGAAAGCUUCUAACGUUACGGUUGACGACGACAAUGACCUUCAAUGCACCGUAUAGUGAAGCUUAACUGCAAGCUUCGCCGAAGAAGAAGAAUAUGAGGAAGAAGAAGAAGAAGAUCUGAGAUAGGAAUCUUCACUGUAAGUUUCACCGGAAGCUUCACUACAAGUUUCGUCGUCGAUGGCGAAAAAGCUUUAGAUAGAUUAAUGUCUCUGUAAAAAAUUAGAAGAUAAAAUAAUAAUAUAUUUUUUAAUGCUAUUUUUGGAACUUUAGGUAAGAUGUGCUAUAUUUGUCUACAAAUCUUAGUUUAGUGCUAAUGUAGGGAAUUUCUCAUUUCAUAAAGAGUUUUGUUUUAAGUUUUUUCUUACUUUUUUAUGUUUUCUUUCACAAACAGUGUUAUUUUGUGCUUUCAGUGAUGGUUUUAAGACUAAAUCUCCUUUUCUUCUUGUUAUUUCAACUUAUUAAUUAGAAAGAUUUUUUUUUUAAAAUGUAUUUAUAGAGAUUAUUGUAGAAAUUUGUACGGGGACAUAUUAUAAACAUGUUACAUAUAGUUGGAAUGUACAAAAUUUAA